AAGCGGACUAGGUGGUGCGGAACA
This 24-nucleotide non-coding RNA is filed under the name Arabidopsis thaliana (thale cress). Lineage: Eukaryota; Viridiplantae; Streptophyta; Magnoliopsida; Brassicales; Brassicaceae. The record is from RNAcentral.